Molecule: long non-coding RNA, 800 nt
Organism: Cyprinus carpio carpio
Lineage: Eukaryota; Metazoa; Chordata; Actinopteri; Cypriniformes; Cyprinidae
Source: Ensembl
CAGAGACAAAAAAAAGUUGCAAAAGAGAGGAUCCUCACUCAGUUGAAGGAUACACUGAGGAAACCACUCCACUCCACUCCAUGCAGAACCAAUCCAUUACAUAGUGAGGAGGAAGUUGAAUCCGAAACGGUGGACACAAACGUGGAUUUGUUCAAUUACCCAGGGAAUUCUCAAUCAACCAGACAAAAAAAGGUUGGAAAGGAGAGGGUCCUCACUCAGCUGAAGGAUACACUGAGGAAACCACUCCACUCUGAUCCACGCAGAACCAACCCGUUACAUAGUGAGGAGGAAGUUCAAGCCGAAACCGUGGACACAAAUGUGGAUUUGUUCGAUUACCCAGAGAAUUUUCAACCAACCGAUACCUUAGAUGCUGCUGAGGCAAGUGGAGAGAGCGUGGAACAGCCAUUAUUUGUCAGUGGUGAAGUGUUGAAAGCUUUGAAAGAAAUUCCCACCUUAGUGCAGUGUGUCAAGGAACUAAUAUCCUCAAUGAACACAGGGAUCGAUACAGCAAGCACAAGCUCAGGGUCCUCCAGCUCAGCCCAAGAGAUGAUUUCUCUGGGCAACAUGGCUGUCCAAGUCAACAAAACCUGCUUUAGGAGAUUGAAUAGGAGCAGAAUGUCCCUGUUCACUCAAGAGUUGGCUGUUUUGUUGUUUGGGAGGGAGGUUCUGGGUUCAUCUAGCCUCACUGGGAAUAGGUCCCAAAAAGAAAGGCUGAACCCAGAAAAAAUGAAUGCACUUAUCGACACUGUCAUAUCUGAGUUUCCGGGCACGUCACAGUCCGAGGUUAGAGCAGUAAUACG